This 374-nucleotide ribosomal RNA is filed under the name uncultured bacterium. RNAcentral's name for it is "bacterial SSU rRNA". It matches the Rfam family "Bacterial small subunit ribosomal RNA", at positions 28 to 393 of the family's 1533-position model. The record is from RNAcentral.
GAUGAACGCUAGCUACAGGCUUAACACAUGCAAGUCGAGGGGCAGCAUGGUCUUAGCUUGCUAAGGCCGAUGGCGACCGGCGCACGGGUGAGUAACACGUAUCCAACCUGCCGUCUACUCUUGGACAGCCUUCUGAAAGGAAAAUUAAUACAAGAUGGCAUCAUGAGUCCGCAUGUUCACAUGAUUAAAGGUAUUCCGGUAGACGAUGGGGAUGCGUUCCAUUAGAUAGUAGGCGGGGUAACGGCCCACCUAGUCUUCGAUGGAUAGGGGUUCUGAGAGGAAGGUCCCCCACAUUGGAACUGAGACACGGUCCAAACUCCUACGGGAGGCAGCAGUGAGGAAUAUUGGUCAAUGGACGAGAGUCUGAACCAGCC